GAAGGAGUGGCUGAGUGGUUUAAAGCGGUACUUUGCUAAAGUAUUUUUUUAUAAGAAAAACAUGGGUUCGAAUCCCAUCUCCUUUU
Non-coding RNA from Schistocerca gregaria, 86 nucleotides. The record is from the annotation of a RefSeq genome assembly. Lineage: Eukaryota; Metazoa; Arthropoda; Insecta; Orthoptera; Acrididae.